UGCACCAGUUAUCCAUGAAACUCAUGGAAAUUUCCCUUCUUUCGAUUUAUUGGAAGAAGACAAUGCAAACAUUCAGAUCAAAUCUAUUCCUCGCCAGCAUCAAAACUGAAAGCAAUUGAUCCUAUCUUACAUAUGGCUCUUCAGUAAGUUAAUGUGGGGAAGAAACAUUAGGAGGCCAAAGUAGUGUCAAGUUAUCUACUCCAUUCAUUAAAAGCUGUACAGUGAAGAUGACUGUAGUUCAAACUCCAGAACAAUUUAUUUUUGCAACUUCAUUCGAACAUGAGUUUUACACCACACUGACAACCACCAACCAGGAUAACAGAAAUCUCCACCAAGGCAGGAACACAGCAGCAGCUAUCCAGGAGAAGCUACUCCAGCAAGGCAAGAAACGUAAUAGAAGCUUCGAAAGUUGAGUUUCAUUUAGCCAAGACCAGUAUUUCUUGGCAGGUGUAUUAGACCAUCAUAACAAAUGGGCAUGUGCUGUUUUAUGAAGUGAUAAACAUGAUUCAGUGUACCAGACCAAAAAUUGUACCGGACCAAAAAUUUCGGUCCAGUUUUUGUAAAAUCAUACUAUCAAAUUUUCCUCA
This is a long non-coding RNA of Lolium rigidum, 587 nucleotides long. RefSeq lists it as uncharacterized. The transcript is spliced from 3 exons. NCBI's taxonomy places the organism in Eukaryota, Viridiplantae, Streptophyta, Magnoliopsida, Poales, Poaceae. The record is from RefSeq and is a predicted model, not a curated record.